This is a long non-coding RNA of Wyeomyia smithii (pitcher-plant mosquito), 865 nucleotides long. RefSeq lists it as uncharacterized. The record is from RefSeq and is a predicted model, not a curated record. Lineage: Eukaryota; Metazoa; Arthropoda; Insecta; Diptera; Culicidae. The transcript is spliced from 4 exons.
GUUAAGAUCAAAGCAACGUGUAUCACGUUUGAAGAAAGGAAAGGGUGAGAUACCGAGCAAUGUCGCAACAAAAGAAAUUCCACCGUAUCCACCAUUCCCACCAGUAUCUUGGCCAAACUAUAUAAUAGACAAUAGAAAUUUUACUAUCGACGAUUAAGUAUAACAUCAAGCCUCAAAAGCCGAAUCAAAUCAAUUUAGCCGUAAUUGAAUUAGGAUAUAGUUUUGUAAAACCAAAGACUGAAGUGAAUCCAUAGAUUAGACACUGAACGUUCGUUUUUCCUCUUAAAAACCAAACAACCUAAUUAUAUAUAUAAACAAGAAACCAUCGUGUUCGUAAGUUCUGGUUAGCAGGUUGUUAACUAAAUUACCAGAAAAUGAAGUGAGUGAACAUAUCUGCUUUUAUUGAAACAACACACACAUAUUCGUUUAGGGAUGUUCCUGCAAAGCGGCUGUUGAAAACACGACUGCGGAACUUCAGACAAUUGAAACACAACACAGAAACAUUACAGAAAAAUCUACACGACAUAAAACUUGCUUGAAACGAUGGUUAUGAAACUGUUCGAAUAUUGUUUUUAUACAUUCAAUUGAUUGGUCAUGUACCGUUGUUAUAACGCUAAUUCUCAAACGCUGUACUGCCUAUUCUUUUGCUUUGGAAAUCCGAAUGUUAUUGAAAAUAACUUAACUCAAAAAUUUUAAUGGAAAGAAGAGUUCUUCGAGAAAAAAAAACUAGCUGUUUUGGCAUUAAACGCCAGAUAUCAUCGGAAUAAAACUGGAGGCCUAUCAGGUGAGAUACGUGUUUAAUCAGUCAUUAAAAAUAGCAAUCUUUCCGAAAUUGUGUGUAUACUUCCAUCUAUAAAUACAACAA